GCGCGGGUGGUGAAAUUGGUAGACACGCCGGUCUGUAUAAGUUACGAAGCUCGACUUGGUGAUUUAGCAAACCGGUUCCCCUAGCGGGCGUGUGGGUUCGAAUCCCACUCCGCGUACCA
Molecule: transfer RNA, 119 nt
Filed under: Candidatus Saccharimonadota bacterium
Lineage: Bacteria; Candidatus Saccharimonadota
Description: tRNA-OTHER
Rfam family: tRNA
About the family: Transfer RNA (tRNA) molecules are approximately 80 nucleotides in length. Their secondary structure includes four short double-helical elements and three loops (D, anti-codon, and T loops). Further hydrogen bonds mediate the characteristic L-shaped molecular structure. tRNAs have two regions of fundamental functional importance: the anti-codon, which is responsible for specific mRNA codon recognition, and the 3' end, to which the tRNAs corresponding amino acid is attached (by aminoacyl-tRNA synthetases). tRNAs cope with the degeneracy of the genetic code in two manners: having more than one tRNA (with a specific anti-codon) for a particular amino acid; and 'wobble' base-pairing, i.e. permitting non-standard base-pairing at the 3rd anti-codon position.
Source: RNAcentral